RNAcentral lists this ribosomal RNA (468 nucleotides) under uncultured bacterium. Its description in RNAcentral is "partial 16S ribosomal RNA". It matches the Rfam family "Bacterial small subunit ribosomal RNA", at positions 28 to 507 of the family's 1533-position model. The record is from RNAcentral.
GACGAACGCUGGCGGCGUGCUUAACACAUGCAAGUCGAACGGAAAGGCCCUGCUUUUGUGGGGUGCUCGAGUGGCGAACGGGUGAGUAACACGUGAGUAACCUGCCCUUGACUUUGGGAUAACUUCAGGAAACUGGGGCUAAUACCGGAUAGGCGCUCCUGCUGCAUGGUGGGGGUUGGAAAGUUUCGGCGGUUGGGGAUGGACUCGCGGCUUAUCAGCUUGUUGUUGGGGUAGUGGCUUACCAAGGCUUUGACGGGUAGCCGGCCUGAGAGGGUGACCGGCCACAUUGGGACUGAGAUACGGCCCAGACUCCUACGGGAGGCAGCAGUGGGGAAUAUUGCACAAUGGGCGGAAGCCUGAUGCAGCAACGCCGCGUGCGGGAUGACGGCCUUCGGGUUGUAAACCGCUUUCGCCUGUGACGAAGCGUGAGUGACGGUAAUGGGUAAAGAAGCACCGGCUAACUACGUG